Molecule: ribosomal RNA, 292 nt
Filed under: uncultured bacterium
Lineage: Bacteria
Description: partial 16S ribosomal RNA
Rfam family: Bacterial small subunit ribosomal RNA
Source: RNAcentral
GUGUCAGCAGCCGCGGUAAUACGGAGGGCGCAAGCGUUGUUCGGAAUUACUGGGCGUAAAGCGCGUGUAGGCGGCCAGGUAAGUCGGAUGUGAAAGCCCGGGGCCCAACCCCGGAACUGCACCCGAUACUGCUUGGCUGGAGUCCCGGAGAGGAUGGCGGAAUUUCCGGUGUAGAGGUGAAAUUCGUAGAUAUCGGAAGGAACACCAGUGGCGAAGGCGGCCAUCUGGACGGUGACUGACGCUGAGACGCGAAAGCGUGGGGAGCAAACAGGAUUAGAAACCCCCGUAGUCC